ACAGCCAUAGAUAUGAUUAACGAAUCAGUGCCAUCUUCGAUUUGUGUCUCAUACUCUGAUUGAAUCAAUGGCUGAAGGUUGAGGUGGUCUGUUGAACUGUAGUUGAAGGCAGCUUCUUCACACUCUAAUAUGACCUUUGCCAUCAUUUCCCUAAAAAUAAACUUGACUGGUACACAACUUCAACCUCAGUCCUAGUCUCUCACCUUCAAAGCCUCUCUCUACAUAGGCUUCAUGAAACGGCUCUUCUUCCUCAUUAAUCCCUUCUUCGUCAUCAUCAUACUCUUUUUGAUGCUUUAAGGAACUACUGCUCUUUUGGAAUCCAAAGAAGAGGAGAAGAAUUCCGUUUGGAUAAAUACUGGGUUCGGGGUUUUUGUGGGUUUUGAAAGGCUGAGCAUUGGAGUUUGGAAUGUGGUUAUCUGGGCGAUUGAUUGGAACUACUUGGAAGGGUUUCAAGGAAAGAUUCUGAUUUUUAGUCAUUUGAAAACUUUGGGUUUUGAUUGGGGAGGAAGGGGAAAUCCAUGUUCAUUCUUUAGUAUAUAUAUUAUGUUGCAAUUGCAUCAUUCUUUUCUUUAUUACCAGAUCCCAUAUACGUUGCUUACGAUGACUCCCUUACUUACUUGGCCAUUUGAGAUUGUUUCCUAUUAAUUAUUAUUAGUAUUGUAAUUGUUAAUUAGUGUUCGCAUUGUUAGGACGGAGAGAGAGAAUCCAUGGGAGAUUAAAAUGGUGAUUUGUUGGGUGGGAUUAUAUGGGAUUUUGUUUUGAAAGCCAUCAGUAUUUUUUACUUGGGACUUCCCCGUCUUCACAAUUUACAGAAGACAUAUGGAUAUAUUAUGCUUCUGAUAUCCCACACUUAAAGCUAGAGUGGUGGAUAAGGAAGGUUACAAGGCAAGUAAAAGAGCAAUUAUUGAUACCCUCUUUUUAGCUGGAAGGUUACAAGGCAAGUAAAAGAGCAAUUAUUGAUACCCUCUUUUUAGCUGGAGGGAAUUUCUCAUACAACCAAAAAAAUGCAGGAGCUAUGGAUUGUUUUAUUAUUAAAUACCUAAUGGUCCUUUUUGAGGUUAACCAGAAACUAUGGGGCUUUUGAGGUUGAACUUUGGUUGAACUUAUCAAUAAAAAGAUAUUAGAAGGCCAUACAAGACCUCUCUGAAAUUAAAUACUUAUUACUGUUUAAUUAACUCACAUCUUUAUGUCGCCAAACUUCUGAUCACACUGACUUUCCAGAUAAAUUGGGCUGCAAUUGUUCUCCACAAAAUGGGUUACAGCUUCCUGUUUUGUUUCUCUUACCUUUUUCUUUUCCUCCUAUCUGUAAUUACAUUUUUUAAUGCAGGAAAUGCUUUAAGGAGAGUUGCAUCUUACAACCUGGAAUAUGGGCUUUUGAAUAUCAAGCCUGAAGGUUGCUCAGGAGUCAUUGGCAGAAGACUCAUUGAGGCAGCCAAAAUGAGAGCUGGGAGUUACAGUGGAGGAAUAAAAUGUGACUUGAGUGUGGCAAUAGCCCUUACCCAAUGACAGAAUUGCCAUCACUUGAAGCUUUAUGACAUCGGAUUAUUAUCUCAACCAAGGCACCAAAAGUUGGCAAAGAUAGUGACAAGGAUUCGUCUGAAAAAUCAGAAAGGAGUAACAGUGAUAGAAAAACUGAGGGCAAAACUGCAGUUGACAUCAAACCUGUCCAGUCCGAACUCUGAAGCACCCAAGUACGUGGAACUUAUAACAAUCCACGCUGGAAAACCAUAGGGUUGUUUGGAAGAAGCUGCAGAGGUUGGUGAAAAAGUAAGACGUCUUAGUUUGAGUGAACAAAACUAGAAAAGGCUGCUGAAAGUCAUGGAACUGAUAUUGUUAGGUAAUAUCUGCAGCAAGAAGUUAUCUUAGCCUUUUGUUAGCUGUGAUCUCUAGCGGUUGUCCUGAGGUAAUGAUUCUGAUACUUGAUGUUGUGUUAUAAUCUCUCGGUUCACACAGUGGAACAUUCUAAGGAUCUACCCCAAAGGAACAUGAGUUACCUCCUCGAAUUACCAAUCGCAUGUCGGGUGGGUGCAUGGAGCUUAAAUAGUUGUGUUUAAUAGGUUAGCUUUGCAGUUUCAUGAAAUCUUAUUGGAACCUAAUAACAUAUCAAUGGCAGAGAUCGAUAAGAAAUAUAACCCGAUCUCUGGAUAUAAAACUAUAUGACAAGGACGUGGCAAAUCACGAUUGUUGAUGAAUGGGAUGUUUAGAGCCAAUUAAUGAGGAUGCGGUUACUUGAAAAAGUCUGCCUUUUUUAUGCACAAGGGCGCAAAUGAUGAGGUUUUUUAUCCUAAAAGGACCUGAUAGUGGCAAAGACAUUGAAGGUGAAAGCAUACAUGGGGAAUAAACGGCACUUGGAUAUUAGUCAAACACACUUCGAUUCAUUCUCCCCACAGACUUCUACACAAAAUUUAGUAAGAUCCGUUUUUGUUUUUCUGAUAAUUCAAGAAUUUGAUUCUAUUUUAGUUAUUGUUGCAAUCAGCUACAUUCCUAUUUUACUUUAUCUUGAAUUUUAGACCAGCUCAUAAGCGAAUAUUGGAGUCGAGUAAUUGGGUUGACUAUAUACUGCUUAUAUACUAAUUUAACAUUACAUCUAACAUUCUUGCCAAGAUGCUUCUAUUGUUUGUUAUUAAGUUUCUAUAAAUGCAAUUACAAGAUUUUUUUUUUUUUUGUCUCAUGGAAAGUUGUGCUUAACAUCUUUGAGUUUAUGCUCAUUGUGUUGUUCAUGGCUGUAAAUUGUUCCAACUGAUUGCAAAUGGGCAGUUACCUUCUUAACAAUUGAUAUAAAUUUCAUGUGCAAUGCAUUUUGAUGUCGAGAUCCCGUAGGUCUGAAAAUAUAAUGCUUUGUUGUGUAAGCAUAACUUGCAUAUUAAAGUACAAGGUUUUAUACUAGCAUUCAAACCUGCAGCAAGCAAACAAAACCGCGGCGAAGAAUAAGACUUGUUUUUUUUUUCCUUUUCUUUUUUUUCAGUUGUAAGAUCUUAGAAUUUGUUUUCUUUUUUCUUUUUUUUUUGAAAAGAGAAUUUGGUUUCUUUUAUAGGGUGAUUGUUUUCUAAUUGUGUCUUUUCUGGUGGCAAGUUUAUACCUUUUCCGUAUAUAGAUUUAGCUUUUGGGGGUGCAGUUCUGCAUGAAAGCAAGGUUCCAGAUGGUGCAAGACUGGAGUUUAAACUAAAUUUGAUUAUGUCUGAUUCUUCGCAAUUUUGUGUACCCUUAUGUUGCUGGAGAAUUUAUUUUUUUUCUGCAUAUAGCUUUGGCGAUGAGAAAGGUUAGGAUUAUGCAGUUCUAGAUUUAUAGGAGAGAGAAAGAUUCAUUUUUUUUUUCUUUUCACGGAAUCAGUGUGAUUCUAAAUGCCACAAGAACACAUUCUUAAUUGGUUGAAUCCCAAACCCUUUGAGCAGAUUAAGUACUACCAGGAUACAAAGCCAAUGGUGAUAAAGUGGAAGAAUCUGAGUAUUUGGUUAAAGGUUAAGAUUAGAAGCUAAAUUGGAAGCAAAACUGUACAGGAAAUAGAACAAAACAAAGGUUGGCCUUCAAAAUGGAAGAAAGAUCAUUAUCAUUCUUCUUCUUAAGAAAGCCAAGAAUAAAGAUUUUCAUUAUCAUUCUUUCUGUUUUGGUACAAUUAUGAAGAUUGUAGGUCCAGAAUUUGAUUGAAAGGUAUCUGCAGUUGUAUCUGCAGAGAUAAAGUUAGCAAUCAAAAAUCUUGAUAUUAUAGUUUGGUUGAUAACUCUGAUUAUAUAUACAAAUAGAUCCUGCUGAAUGCCAUAUAUUACUCACAGACCCUCCUCUCAAUCCCUCCAAGAACCGUGAAAGGAUUGUCUGUUUUUGUGAUAUCUUUAUUAGGCAGUAGCUUAGUUUGGUAAAUUUUUGUGUACUGUAAUGAAUAUUAAUGUUGGCCUGUCAUGAUUUGGCUUGAUUCAAUGUUUCAAUUCGAGACCAUGUUUAACAAAUACAGUUUUAUUGCUGUCUUCUUUAAUUGAAGCUGUUUUAACACUGUAUGCUCAAGGAGCUUAUAGAGAUGAUUAAAUGUUAAAUGUUUAUAUACCUGUUUUUGCCUCAAUUUGUUAUUUCUUUCUAGUUUUGUGGAAUUUCUGAAGAGGUGUAGAAGUUGUUUUUCAGAUUAAGUUAGCCUGAUACGAGGAAAAGGUCUACCCUCAGAAUAAGGUAAUGUGUUCGAACAAUUAUAGUUAUGUUUUUGUUUGUUAUUGAGUAUAUGUUGUUGCAAGGGCCUUCACUUUUCCCAGGUUUCAUAUCUGAUCAGUCUGCGUUUUGUCACCAAGAUAUUGAUAUUGGUGAGUCUGAUUCUAUUUUAAGAAGCGCAACUAUAUUCCUUUAGCUUUCUCUUUGGAAAAGGGCUGCAGCAUUACUUUAUUUAUCUUCUUAUGUUGAUAAUUAGGGAAAUUGCCGUGUGAGGCACAUAGAUCUCAGAAAGCAGCUGUGUUUUUUGAACACAACUGGAACACAUGCCUAGCAACAAAUUACAUAAUUAAAUAGAAAAGUAAUACUAAAAAUGUGAUGGUCCUGAUUAGUGGUUCAGUAUAGGGAAAGCAUAUUGCAUAUUGUGAUGAAUAUAAACAAUGGUACAUUGUCUAUUUAGUAUCUUGAUCAUGUCUCCUUUUGUUUGGUUCAUGGUUACUUUCUGUCUUUAUACCCUCAAAAUCAGUUACGUUAGUGGGAAUACUCUUCCUGUAAAGUAGAUGUGUAUAAGAUAGGAUAGUUUCAAUCAUAAUGCAUCCUGUCUUUAGUUGUGUAAGGGUUUGGUUUUUCAUAUUGACUUCAAAUGGGUUUAUAACUCUUAUUUACACAAAAACAGAGCAACAGCAGCCUGUUGCGCAAUGGAACUUUCGUUACUCGCAUCCAAUGAUAAUUAUGAGAAACCACAAUGAACUUAUUCUAAGCAAAAGAGCUAGAACAUAGAGAAACUCAGUCAAACAAUAAAAGUUAUUUCAGUGAGUAAUAGGACAAACCCAAAAUAUUCUUUUGAGUGCUAUAAUCACAUGGAGUAAUUUCAGGGAUCUGAUUUGUGGAAAGAUAGAGAUCAGAUUAAAAAGUUUGCAAAAUCCUCCUUGGAACUCUGCAAGGUGUAUAUGUAUAUGGAGAUUUCUUUGUCUACUAGCAGCCAUGAUGAACUUCCCUCAGCUGAAAGGCACCUAAGGAACAUAAUUAGAUAGGCAAGAUACUUUUCAAAAUGUUAGCAUUUGGAAUAUGUAACUGCCAUUGUUUUUUUUUUUUGGACAUGAUAUGCUAAACACUAUUUUCUAUCAUUUGAAUCUCUUUAAAUCCUAUAGAUGUAUUACUAUUUUUGUAACUAAAUAACAUACAUUUGGGACA
Long non-coding RNA from Rosa chinensis, 5322 nucleotides. RefSeq lists it as uncharacterized. The transcript is spliced from 5 exons. NCBI's taxonomy places the organism in Eukaryota, Viridiplantae, Streptophyta, Magnoliopsida, Rosales, Rosaceae. The record is from RefSeq and is a predicted model, not a curated record.